AGCUGCCCAGAGUGGCGCAAGCCACAUAUCCCGUGACAUUGCGAAAGCAAGGCUGGCGGUAGGUAGUCCUGGGCGGCGACAGCCUUGGACUGCGGCGUAAAGGUGUACCUGGGGCCGUUAAACCUAUCGU
RNAcentral lists this non-coding RNA (130 nucleotides) under unclassified sequences. RNAcentral describes it as "EGFOA RNA". It matches the Rfam family "EGFOA RNA". The record is from Rfam by way of RNAcentral.